Molecule: long non-coding RNA, 275 nt
Filed under: Lathyrus oleraceus (garden pea)
Lineage: Eukaryota; Viridiplantae; Streptophyta; Magnoliopsida; Fabales; Fabaceae
Description: Pisum sativum (pea) long non-coding RNA (PSAT_LNC028657)
Source: RNAcentral
GGGAGGGCAUGCCCGCCAAGUUGAAAUGGGCAUGAAAAUCUAGCUCGCCCCGCCAAGGUGGCGGGUUGGCAGGCGGCGGGCUUGCCAACCUUUUUUUAUUUUAUUUUAUUUUCAUUUUUUUAAGAAAUUAAAAGACUAUUUUUUUUACAUUUAAAUAAGAAAACAUCUACCCAACAAUUAGAAAGUAUAAAUGGCAAAAGACUAAAACCAUAAAAGUAUUACCCUUCAAUCAAAAAUAGAACCUUCAAUAAGUAUUUACCUAAAAUAGAAGUAGA